Eptesicus fuscus (big brown bat) is the source of this 715-nucleotide long non-coding RNA. RefSeq lists it as uncharacterized. Lineage: Eukaryota; Metazoa; Chordata; Mammalia; Chiroptera; Vespertilionidae. The record is from RefSeq and is a predicted model, not a curated record. The transcript is spliced from 3 exons.
UCUGAGUGCUUUUAUUUCCAGUAAUAUCCACUUUUUUCCUGAAAUUUUAUGGAAACGUGUCACUAGUCCUGUGACUUAUGAGAUGACUUACAGAUGAAAUUGACAACAUGAAUAAAUGAACAUGAUUGACCAGGAGGACUUGAGACAAGAAUCAAACCACAAAAGCCCUUAAAAGGAGAUUCCAAAAUGGUGUGAAAUUCAGAGAAGACCCGUUCAAUGGAAAUUCUGGUCACCAGACAACCAAAGGAGCUUUUGUGAGCUUUGAUGUCUCUUAAGUGAAGGAAAGUGUGAAAUGAAGAAGCAAAAGCAGGUUAUAUUACUUGGUACAGUUGAUGUUAAGAAAAAGAGAGAACCCUACUGGGCCUAACCUAAUUACGCCAGACCGGAGAGGUGAAGAAUUUCCUCUAGCUGGUAGCAGCAGCAGAAGUCCGAGAUUUGAAGUACGGGAAGGAUCUGAUGCCCUGUUUUUGGCUUGAAGGUGGAGGAAGCCAUGUGGAAAGGACAGAGUGGCUUCCAGCAGCCAAGAGCCAGCAGUCAGCAAGGAAAGAUGUCUUUGGUCCAGCAAGUGAGAGAACUGAGCUUGGGAGUGGGUCUUCCCCAGUGCCUCUAGGUGGGAAUGCAGCCCGACUGAUGCCUGAAUUUCAGCCUUUUGAGACCCUGAGCAGGCAGCCAGGCACAUAGGGCCAGGCUUCUGACCUGCGGAACCGUGAGCUAA